CAGCAGCAGCCGCGGUAAUACGGAGGAUCCAAGCGUUAUCCGGAAUCAUUGGGUUUAAAGGGUCCGUAGGCGGUCUUGUAAGUCAGUGGUGAAAGCCCAUCGCUCAACGGUGGAACGGCCAUUGAUACUGCAGGACUUGAAUUAUUGGGAAGUAACUAGAAUAUGUAGUGUAGCGGUGAAAUGCUUAGAGAUUACAUGGAAUACCAAUUGCGAAGGCAGGUUACUACCAAUUGAUUGACGCUGAUGGACGAAAGCGUGGGUAGCGAACAGGAUUAGAUACCCCCGUAGUCCCUGUCUCUUAUAC
This 304-nucleotide ribosomal RNA is filed under the name uncultured bacterium. RNAcentral describes it as "partial 16S ribosomal RNA". It matches the Rfam family "Bacterial small subunit ribosomal RNA", at positions 506 to 807 of the family's 1533-position model. The record is from RNAcentral.